This 253-nucleotide ribosomal RNA is filed under the name uncultured bacterium. RNAcentral's name for it is "partial 16S ribosomal RNA". It matches the Rfam family "Bacterial small subunit ribosomal RNA", at positions 524 to 776 of the family's 1533-position model. The record is from RNAcentral.
UACGUAGGGGGCAAGCGUUGUCCGGAAUCAUUGGGCGUAAAGAGCGUGUAGGCGGCUCGGUAAGUCCGCUGUAAAAGUCCAGGGCUCAACCCUGGAAUGCCGGUGGAAACUGUCGGGCUGGAGUCCGGAAGAGGCGAGUGGAAUUCCUGGUGUAGCGGUGAAAUGCGCAGAUAUCAGGAGGAACACCAAUGGCGAAGGCAGCUCGCUGGGACGGUACUGACGCUGAGACGCGAAAGCGUGGGGAGCAAACAGG